RNAcentral lists this ribosomal RNA (87 nucleotides) under Apios carnea. RNAcentral describes it as "partial 5.8S ribosomal RNA". It matches the Rfam family "5.8S ribosomal RNA", at positions 73 to 154 of the family's 154-position model. Rfam says of the family: 5.8S ribosomal RNA (5.8S rRNA) is a component of the large subunit of the eukaryotic ribosome. RNAcentral also lists the same sequence under 1 other name. The record is from RNAcentral. Lineage: Eukaryota; Viridiplantae; Streptophyta; Magnoliopsida; Fabales; Fabaceae.
UGCAGAAUCCCGUGAACCAUCGAGUCUUUGAACGCAAGUUGCGCCCGAAGCCAUUAGGUUGAGGGCACGCCUGCCUGGGUGUCACAC